This 577-nucleotide long non-coding RNA is filed under the name Homo sapiens (human). RNAcentral's name for it is "non-protein coding lnc-SLC39A11-1:22". Lineage: Eukaryota; Metazoa; Chordata; Mammalia; Primates; Hominidae. The record is from RNAcentral.
UCUCUGAGGACCUCUACAGGGCUGGAUGGGAAGGACUGAUCCACAUUCCCACCAGGAAGUUUAGCAGAACCCCCGCGUGCCACCUGGACCCCUUGGAAGGACCUGGCUCAGGCUGGACCACCUCUUGAGAGGCAGGAGCUCUGGAUUUGAUCAAGAAUUCUUUGCUGAGCAUGGUGCCUCAUGCCUAUAAUCCCAACACUUUGGGAGGCCAGUGUGGGAGGAUCUCUUGAGCCCAGGAGUUCAAGACUAGCCUGGGCAACACAGAGAGACCCCAUCUCUAAAAUAAUAAUAAUAAUAAAAUAAAAAAUUAGCAGGGCAUGGUGGCAUGUGCCUGUAGUCCCAGCUACCCAGGAGGCUGAGGCAAGAGGAUGGCUGGAGCCUGGGAUGUUGAGGCUGCAAUGAACUGUGAUUACCCCACUGCACUCCAGCCUGGGCAAAAGAGCGAGAGACCCUGUCUCAAAUAAUAAUAAUAAUAAUAAUCUUAUUUUGGAGAAUAAAGAGACCUCUGGAUUUGAGGUGCCAUUUGGGUAGAAAGAAAAGACGUUUACACCGAGAAAUAGUCUGUGUUGCCCUGAAG